RNAcentral lists this ribosomal RNA (251 nucleotides) under uncultured bacterium. RNAcentral describes it as "partial 16S ribosomal RNA". It matches the Rfam family "Bacterial small subunit ribosomal RNA", at positions 524 to 776 of the family's 1533-position model. The record is from RNAcentral.
UACGGAGGGUGCAAGCGUUAUCCGGAUUUACUGGGUUUAAAGGGUGCGUAGGUGGAUUGGUAAGUCAGUGGUGAAAUACUUUCGCUUACGAAGGAACUGCCAUUGAUACUAUCAAUCUUGAAUGUAGUGGAGGUAGGCGGAAUGCGUCAUGUAGCGGUGAAAUGCUUAGAUAUGACGCAGAACACCAAUUGCGAAGGCAGCUUGCUACACUACUAUUGACACUGAGGCACGAAAGCGUGGGAUCAAACAGG